GCAAAAAUUAGAAUUGUUUCCCUAAUUCAAAAAUAUAAACCCUCAUAGAAAACCCACGUAAGAUUUUCCCUCUCUGCCUCCAAAACUUUUUCACCAAAUAAUUCCACUAGUUUAAUUGCCCAAACCUAAUUCCAAUUUUCUCACUCUCCAAAUUUCUUGCAAAAUCGUGGCUGUGAUCUAUUUUUUUUCUCCUGGACAUAAUAUUCAUUUGGGUCAAAAAAAUCCAGCUGAAUCGACUACAAAUUUUGAGCUCUUCAAGUCGCCUUCAAGAAUAUACAUCAAGGUUACCCAACGGAGAAUUUGGUGAGGUUUCUCAAAGCAGGAGAUGGGAAUGUAUCCGAAGCCCAUAAAAUGGUUUGAAGAUUCCAAUUGUAACAAUCUUUUUUUCCUUUUUUUAAAGAAUACGUUGAUGUAUGUUCAUUGUUUCUUAGCAGUUGUACCCCAUGUUUUUUCCAGCUUGUCAACUGCUUGAACUAGAGUUACAAAACGAUAUUGACAAUAUAUUGGUUGUGAGUUCUGAUGAUCUUGUUCUAUGAAGAAUGUUAAGAUUUCUAUUUCCUUAUAAUUUGGUAUCUGCACAUAUUAGAUUUGAUCAGGCCAUGUUAUAUUUUUGGUUAGACUGUGGCAUUGUCCAAAAUGGCUUAUCUUUAGCCAUGAUCAUAUUGAUAAUGAACGAUUAUCAAUAUGGAAAAACAUUUUGACCGAACAUGUGGAAAAACUUUUGAAAAUCAUAGGGUUCUUUGUAAAUUCCCGCAGAGAGCCAUUCAUCCUUAUAUACAUAUCUUAAGAUUCUUGAUAAAUAUAGCAAGCUGGCAUUUAGAGGCAGCAAGUCUUGGCGAGAAAAAAACUAAUAAAAUUAAGGUCCUUUCUCAUGCAUAGUGGAAGAGAUGGCUGAGGUAGUGAAAUUAUAUGUUAUCAACAUGUACUUAAUUAAUUAUAAUUGCUAAGGAUUUGAAUAUAGUAUUUGAAACAUGGAUUUUUUUUAUUAUUAUGAUGGUUACAAGUUUCCUGAAGUCGACACAUUUGAGUCUGCUUAUGCAGGAAAGAACAAGUUUUGAACUUAUAAUGUAGUAAGAAAGACUCAACACUAUAACUUUGUUUUCUUUAUCAUGUUUUUCUACCAGCUUAGACACAAAAAAAAAUUGCAAAGUUAGAUCAAUAGAGGCUAGAAAAAUUAUCAUUAUGUUAAGUAGUAUCACAAUUUUUGUAUGAUUUUGUUGUGGCUAUUUUGGAAGUGGACAUUGGCAUGGUCAAAAUAUUUUAGAGAAUCGAUUAUAUCUCUUGGGUUUUGCUAUAUCUUUUGUGUGCACUUGCAAAAUUUCACUGUGGUGGCAAUCGGACAGUAGUCAUAUACAAGACUAGCUAACAAAAUUGUGCUUUAAAGUCUUUUCUGAAUUUCUGUGUUCGGCUGUACUUCAAAGACCAACUUUCUGGUAAGGUACGUUUCGUUAGUAAAGAAAGUAACUUUGAAAAUCGUUUUCGACUUACUUUUGAGUAAAAUCAAAAGGUCCGAAACUUAAAAAUGAAUUUGGUGAAUUGCUGAGCAUUGGUAUGAAUACAGGUGGGGUUUUUCUUCUUCUACUUUGGAUUUUGGGGCUUCUAUCCUCUCUUCCAAGCAAUUUUCACGUCUCCCCAAGAGCAUAUGAUGCUACAAAAAGAACGAUCUUCUGGAAUGUACCGCCUUUCAUCAUACUUUAUGGCACCAACUUCAGGCGAUCUGCCAAUGGAAUUAAUCCUCCCCACAGUGUCACCAUAACCUACUGGAUGGCAGGCCUAAAAGGACAGCAAUGAAUCUUCUGUGCAGCUUAUUCGUUCUCCUCUUCAGCGUGUUAUGUUCUCAUGGCCUCGGACUCACCAUUGGAGCACUGGUCAUGGACCAAAAAUCUGCGACCAUACUUGGAUCGGUUAUCAUGAUUUCUUUCCGUCUAGCAAGUGGUUUUUAUGUCCAACAUGUUCCCAAGUUUAUAGGAUUGAUCAAGUUUAUAUCUAUAAAAAAUCCAUGUAUAAAAAAUAUUGUACAUUAAUAUUUGGAUGAUGAUCACUUGAAGAAUAUUGAGCUAUCAACCUGGUCAUCUGAUAAUAUAUAUGUUUUGCUCAUGUUACUUUAUUUCAUGGAAUAUUAUUUUGAAGGAAUUACAUUAUUUCAGGUGGUUCCCUUUUUCUUUUUGACUGGAAGGUGCUGAGCUACUUCUGGAAAGAUUGCUAUAAUUAGAGAGAAGAAAGAUGGAAAGGCAGUGAAGGAGGCUCAUGAAAGGCUCAAGUAUGAAUGAUGGGGGCUGUGGAAGGGGAGGCAGUUUGGGAAUAUCAAAAGAAGACAUCCCCGGUAUGAAGUUAUAACGAAGGAAAUUCACGUGAUUGUUAAUACUAAAACUUUGAUAAAAAAUUUCUUUCCUUUAUUGAUCUCAUUCUUUUUCAUUUCUUUUUUUUGUAAUGCUCAUAUGGAUGUCACAAAAAGGAAAGCCGAAGUACGUGUCACUUGCUAUUCAUCCAAAUUACAACAAAUGGAAGCCCAUCUCCUCAUGGGCAAGGACAACACUCUAAUCAAAUUACACAUUAUGUUUGAACACCCUUUACCGCUCAAUCUGGUGUAAAUAGGUUCACAACUAAAUCUAGGUUGAAGUUACAAUUUAUUUUUGUGGUAAAAUAUUAGGCAUUUUGGGUUAUGUAUUGAAUAUUAGUAUCUGUUAUAUAUGCAAUACAAUCUUAUUUCGGUAGCGAAAUGUUUCUUGUUAAA
Molecule: long non-coding RNA, 2734 nt
Organism: Olea europaea var. sylvestris
Lineage: Eukaryota; Viridiplantae; Streptophyta; Magnoliopsida; Lamiales; Oleaceae
Exons: 3
Source: RefSeq, a predicted model, not a curated record